CAUGAUAAAUCUAAUAUUUGAAUUGAGCAAGAUUUCAGGAACAACAAUCCAAUCCUACACACUUGGAACAAAUUGCUUGGAACACAAGAAAUCAACAAAAGUUGAUUAUUCACUGAGUAAAUCGAUUGGGAAAUCGAUUUCAUAACAAGGGUGUAAGGAUAAGUAUAUGUUUGUGAUUGUAUAAUCGAUUGGGAAAUCGACUGACUAAAUUAGAAUUGAAAAUUGAACAAGUCAGUGGCAACCUGAUUUACAGGUUAAUCGAUUGACAAAUCGAUUGUGCAUAUCACAAAAUGAAAACUGAU
Molecule: long non-coding RNA, 302 nt
Filed under: Cicer arietinum (chickpea)
Lineage: Eukaryota; Viridiplantae; Streptophyta; Magnoliopsida; Fabales; Fabaceae
Description: long non-coding RNA (CARI_LNC003222)
Source: RNAcentral